GCUUAAUUCUCAUUUGCACACUUUUUACAGUUCAAAGUCGAAGCGAAACUGAAAUUGAACCUCAAGUUACUUUAUUAAUAUACAUUCCAGGUUUUAUUUGGAAUUAUUGUUUUGUGCAUUGUAUUACAGAACAUUUUUUGUUAAUCUGUCUUCAAAAUAUAAUAACUUGUUCUACCCAUGAAAUUACUUUUUUUUUUUUUUUUAUGCUUUACAACAUCGACGACUCCCCUCCACCCACCUGUCAUAUAGAGAUCAUGAGUAGCUAGUGGAAAUAGUGUAGGAAACCCAGAUGUGUUCGACAGGAGUAAAGGUGAAACCAUUACGACACAAACGCAAACUCCCUUCAUGACUUUGAAUAAAAGGCCACAGAUGGAAGAGAGCACCAUUGACAUUGAUGUCAACAAGCGUUCAUCGUGCACCAUAAAGGACCCAACAGAUUUCACAAACAUACUUGAUAUCAGUCAAGAAGACAAUGAAAAGUUCAAGAGCUUGGCUGAACCCUCACCAUCAGAUUUCUUGGAAUAAAGGCUGUGUUAUUGCCCAAUAUUAAAGUUUGCUCCAAAGAACGUGGCAUUAUCUUGCAUUCUAUGGUUUCUACUUUCUACACAGAGACAUUACAUCACUUAUCUACAUUCUGGCUGAUAUAGCCUGAAAAAUUCCUGUAAUGUGGUUGAGCCAUUUCCUUCAUGCCAUUUUCCCUUCCUAAAAUGUUUACUGAUAGAUUGUUCCUUGCUGCUCUUUGUCACAAUGAAAAAGUGUUAGUAGUAACAAUUUAAGAGUCCAAAAAGAAGGAAUAUUCCCUUCUCUACAUAAAACAGCAUCAACAUACAGUAUGUUGGAUGAUGGAAUUUACAUCGC
This 858-nucleotide long non-coding RNA is filed under the name Sinocyclocheilus anshuiensis. Its description in RNAcentral is "lncRNA (ENSSANG00000045421.1)". The record is from RNAcentral. Lineage: Eukaryota; Metazoa; Chordata; Actinopteri; Cypriniformes; Cyprinidae.